Molecule: long non-coding RNA, 1077 nt
Organism: Drosophila obscura
Lineage: Eukaryota; Metazoa; Arthropoda; Insecta; Diptera; Drosophilidae
Exons: 4
Source: RefSeq, a predicted model, not a curated record
UGCCCUAACGCUUAUUUUAUAAGUUUGUUUACAAACGGAAAACAAUUAAAAAUAUGAGUUUACAACCAAUUGGAGUUACUUAACACAAUAAGUAAAUGCAUAAAUAUUCGUUUGAUGUUGCUGACCGCUUGGUGCCUGUGCCUGUGCCUGUGGGUGUUGCUACGUUAAUUCACUUAAAGCAUGUGGGGGGCCACCCAGUCUGCAUCCAUCUGACUGCCGCUGUGCCGAGUCAUGUGCAUUCAAUUCCAACUGCAGGUCAAGUGGCCGCCAAAGCAAAAGCCGCAACGUGAGAAUCCGAACUAAACGAAAUCCCUCGUUCUCUUUUCGCUGCUUUUGCUCUUUUUAGCACACUUUGAGCUGCGUCUGCGCCGGCUGUUGGUACUGGGAGCGUGUGGGUGAGUGGAGUGGGUGCCAAUCCGCCGAACCUCUGAGUGCCGGUGUUUUACUGCAACUUUUGGGCCUUAGCCUAGCCAUGGCCUCGCCGGAUUCUUCGUUUGGCUGGAAUUUGCGGCAUUUGUUCAAGGUGGCAGCCGCGUCGUCUUUGUUCGCUUGGAGCAUGCAAAUCUGUCAACAAAUUGCCGGCGAUUAGGCGCCACCCAACACCACCAACAGGAGGAGGAGGAGGCGGUGGAGUGGGUGGUAGACCGUCCCACGCGGGAAUCAUAUGCCGCCUAGAGAUAGAGAAAUGCCGGCCAGUUUUGUCGGUCAACAAUUUAGACAUAAUUUGAAAGCGUCGCCUCGUUUCAGUCCACACGCAAAGCGUGGUCCUCGCUUACGCAAUGGCCACAUGUCAAAUUAUGCAUAAUGGGAGCGCCAGGAGUGGAGUGGUGUCAGGUGGAAUGGAGCCAGGUGGGUGGGCUCAGAUAAAACUCACAGCCCAGAUGGCAGCCAAAGUACGUCUGAAAUAUGUCCUGUGUGCCACAACAUUAUGCAGAUGCUUCAACACCCAACGACCCAUUCCCAUUCCCAUGCCCAUCCAGCUUUUGAUGAACUGCCCCACUGAUGGAUGGUUUUUAGUGGAUUUGCAGUCCUGGUCUCCAGCCAGACAUAUGGAUGGGUAAGUGUGUGCGUGACUUA